RNAcentral lists this ribosomal RNA (253 nucleotides) under uncultured bacterium. RNAcentral's name for it is "partial 16S ribosomal RNA". It matches the Rfam family "Bacterial small subunit ribosomal RNA", at positions 524 to 776 of the family's 1533-position model. The record is from RNAcentral.
UACGGGGGGGGCAAGCGUUGUUCGGAAUUGCUGGGCGUAAAGGGCUCGUAGGUGGCCAACUAAGUCACACGUGAAAUCCCUCGGCUUAACCGGGGAACUGCGUGUGAUACUGGAUGGCUUGAGUUUGGGAGAGGGAUGCGGAAUUCCAGGUGUAGCGGUGAAAUGCGUAGAUAUCUGGAGGAACACCGGUGGCGAAGGCGGCAUCCUGGACCAAUACUGACGCUGAGGAGCGAAAGCCAGGGGAGCAAACGGG